UAGCAUAGCAUGCCAUAGCCACCCAAUCAGUAAUAAGGUUUACCUUUAAUGAACCUAUAAUCAUAUGUUACUAUGCACUAGAAUCUCUCCGUUACAAAAUCUCAAUUCGAGCUAGAUUCAUGGUUAAUGUCAAACCCCAUUUGCUAUGAACAUUAUGUUCUCUUUUAAUUUCAAUUCUUGAUUAAUUAGAUUUUCCUAUCAUAAACUCUUUUCUGCCUAAAUUUGUCUGUUAUGGCCAGGAACUUGAAACAUCAAG
This 256-nucleotide unclassified non-coding RNA is filed under the name Hevea brasiliensis (rubber tree). Lineage: Eukaryota; Viridiplantae; Streptophyta; Magnoliopsida; Malpighiales; Euphorbiaceae. The record is from RNAcentral.